UACAGGGGGUGCAAACGUUGCUCGGAAUCAUUGGGCGUAAAGCGCACGUAGGCGGUCUGUUAUGUCGGAUGUGAAAGCCCUUGGCUUAACUGAGGAAGUGCAUCCGAAACUACUUGGCUAGAGUACUGGAGAGGGAAACGGAAUUCACGGUGUAGCAGUGAAAUGCGUAGAUAUCGUGAGGAACACCAGAGGCGAAGGCGGUUUCCUGGACAGUUACUGACGCUCAGGCACGAAAGCGUGGGGAGCAAAAGGG
RNAcentral lists this ribosomal RNA (253 nucleotides) under uncultured bacterium. RNAcentral describes it as "partial 16S ribosomal RNA". It matches the Rfam family "Bacterial small subunit ribosomal RNA", at positions 524 to 776 of the family's 1533-position model. The record is from RNAcentral.